Molecule: microRNA precursor, 75 nt
Filed under: Carica papaya (papaya)
Lineage: Eukaryota; Viridiplantae; Streptophyta; Magnoliopsida; Brassicales; Caricaceae
Description: miR8141 stem-loop (cpa-MIR8141)
Source: miRBase by way of RNAcentral
UCAGAUUAUUAAUGUUAAUGGUUCACGUGUAGCGGGGACCCCCUAUAGAUCCCCAUGGAUACUAGUAGGCUGGUU